AGGACGAACGCUGGCGGCGCGCCUAAUACAUGCAAGUCGAGCGAGAACCGGGACUUCGGUCCCGGGGACAGCGGCGAACGGGUGCGUAACACGUGAGCAACCUGCCCCGAAGACCGGGACAAGCCGGGGAAACCUGGUCUAAUACCGGAUGUCCUCACCGAAUCGCAUGGUCUGGUGAGGAAAUGGAUUCCGCUUCGGGAUGGGCUCGCGGUCUAUCAGCUUGUUGGUGGGGUAAUGGCUCACCAAGGCAACGACGGAUAGCUGGUCUGAGAGGACGAUCAGCCACACUGGGACUGAGACACGGCCCAGACUCCUACGGGAGGCAGCAGUAGGGAAUCUUGCGCAAGUGGGGAAACCCUGGACGCAGCGACGCCGCGUGCGGAUGAAGGCCUUCGGGUUGUAAACCGCUUUCAGCAGGACGAAAUUGACGUACCUGACAGAAGAACGGACCGCAACGUACGUGCCAGCACGCCGAC
RNAcentral lists this ribosomal RNA (476 nucleotides) under uncultured soil bacterium. Its description in RNAcentral is "bacterial SSU rRNA". It matches the Rfam family "Bacterial small subunit ribosomal RNA", at positions 26 to 522 of the family's 1533-position model. The record is from RNAcentral.